Molecule: ribosomal RNA, 383 nt
Filed under: uncultured bacterium
Lineage: Bacteria
Description: bacterial SSU rRNA
Rfam family: Bacterial small subunit ribosomal RNA
Source: RNAcentral
AUUGAACGCUGGCGGCAUGCCUUACACAUGCAAGUCGAACGGCAGCACGGGGCAACCUGGUGGCGAGUGGCGAACGGGUGAGUAAUGCAUCGGAACGUGCCAUUGAGUGGGGGAUAACGUAGCGAAAGUUGCGCUAAUACCGCAUAUUCUGUGAGUAGGAAAGCAGGGGACCGCAAGGCCUUGCGCUCUUUGAGCGGCCGAUGUCAGAUUAGCUAGUUGGUGAGGUAAAGGCUUACCAAGGCGACGAUCUGUAGCGGGUCUGAGAGGAUGAUCCGCCACACUGGAACUGAGACACGGUCCAGACUCCUACGGGAGGCAGCAGUGGGAAUUUUGGACAAUGGGCGCAAGCCUGAUCCAGCCAUGCCGCGUGAGUGAAGAAGGCC